Long non-coding RNA from Zea mays, 2346 nucleotides. RefSeq lists it as uncharacterized. NCBI's taxonomy places the organism in Eukaryota, Viridiplantae, Streptophyta, Magnoliopsida, Poales, Poaceae. The transcript has 3 exons. The record is from RefSeq and is a predicted model, not a curated record.
UUUAAGAUAUUGGAGCCACUGUUUUUUCUGACAGUGCAAAUAUACGGAUCUAGAAUUUUUUUAUCCCUAUUGGUAGCUUGAUUUGUAUCAUAGUAGAACACUGAUACACUGAGUAAAGUGUUCCUCGUUACAAUACAUUGAUACACUAAGUAAUCUUGUUUUUUCGGCUGGAGUGGAGUCCACUGUCACAGCCAACAUGUGACUAAAUUUCCUCACUACAGUCUACACCUUGUAGGUCAGUCUCUCUGUCUUAAGUCAUCACAAGUUUAAUGUUUUUCUUGCUUUCAAUGACAUUUUAUUUGAAAACAUUUGCUCUCUGACUUAUUGCAAUUGGUUGCUUCCAAAAGUGUUGGCAUCCUCAACUCCACUGUAAGUCUCGUCUUUUUAUCUUUUACAGUAGUAUUCUUACGGACGAAUCAAACCAAACAUCAACACGGGAUCAGGUGAUUACUUUAGCAGCAGUAUAUUCUCUAGCCUUGCUUUGCUAUUUUCAUAAAAACAUCUUGUGUUUUAUGUUAUUAUCAGGCACAUAUAGUAAUGUUUUAGGCAUGAUCAAUGAAACUCAAGUCCUUCUUAGUCUACUUCCUCCCACUCGCAUUCCCAUCUCAUUGUUCUGUUACACCAAAGACAGAUGGAUUUUAAAAGGUGUUACAAACGCUACCACAUUGACAUGUGACUUUACUCUGUUUUUCAGGUAGCAUGCCCACUACUCUACCACCACUGAUCCAUAUCUUUUAGGUCAUUGUAUUGCUAUUUUGCAGGCCAUCGACUAGAACAAAGAUCUUUCUAGAGAAUCAUAUUGUUGAUUCAGAAAUUUCUCUUACAGCCACUGUUAAUUUGGUGUGUGUUUCGUCUUUAUAUAUGUGCUUUUGGAGAAAGCUGAUAGGCUAAAUUGUUUGGGUUCUAGGCAGUAGCUAGAAAGAAACUUGGAAGCUGAGAAAAGCUGCUGCAAUAUAUUGCAAGAACUUAUCUCACGGCAUUUCAAACUCGCUCGCUUCUUUCUUUUCUACAUACAUUCAUAGUACAUUGAUAUGUGAUCCAAUUUAUAAAAUUUUAAGCGAAAUUUCUUGUGGAUGGUGACCACUACCAAGUCUGGAUCGUGAGUAGUACUUGGGAGAUACUAAUCAUUGUUUGGUAUACUAAAAUAAUCUGUUGUGGUUCUAUGCAUUCAGAAUAUGCGUUCAUGAUUUUGUUUUUGAGGAAUUGGAUGAUGUGUUGUUUACUAUCCUCGGGGCUACAUGGUGUGGAUUGUGAAGGCCGGCCGAUGUACAUAGAGAGGCCAGGGAAGGUGUCCCGGAGUUUGAGAGAGCUUUUAGGGAGAGGUUCUCUGCCUGCACAUUAGCUUCUAAGAGGCAUAUUGACUCCACUACCAUCUUCGACGUCCAAGGGGCUCACAUGGAUCAUCCCAGAGCGCAAGCAAACUUUGAGAUCGCGCCGAAAGCAUGCCAUCCCUGGAAUCCUUCAGUUGGGAGUAACAUUUAGUUCCACUGUGUGGUUUUUGCUCUCUAAAUAUAUUGCUUGUCAUACAUAUGUUUGCGAUCUCAUAGAUUUGGAUUUUGAGCAUUACCAGUUUAUUAUUUUUGUUAAUGCAAGCCUUGAAGCGUAUCAAACUCUAUGAACUGGUAUGAUUUGGAAGAUAGGAAUUGUAACUUCUGUGUUGCAAAUAAUCUAUGAGGUGUGAGCUGCUAGAGGUAAAAUUUGCUGAAAUAGUUGAUCUGAAAUAGUCAUGUAUCUUGUGAUAUUAACAAUUCCUCACAGUAUUUGACUAUUUGUAUUGUAGCAACUGCUCCUUUUGCUUCGUGUAGUACUAAAUUUACUGUUGUUUGUUUAAAAGAAAAAUUUAGGUUCCAUUUGCAAUAGUGGAUAUGUUUUCACUGUCUGAUGAAUGCUGUUGGGAUAUUUGGUUUUUCUUUUGUCAAACUCUAAUUAAUAUAUUUUCCUUGUAUUGUAUGAAUUGCGAUGUUCAGAAGUACAAAGAUAUUAGUAAAGUCGAGAAGGACAUCGUUCUCAGGCCAUCAAUGGCGCCGCGCUGCACCUCUUCAGCUUCGCCGAGGCCAUCAGCAUCGGUCGCCCACCUAGAAACUCUUCAAGAUCAUAGACCUCCACGACAGGCUCUCGAAGUCUCGGACCUCCUAUCCGACGUCUUUGGCUAUACCUAGCCUCAACAUCGAGAUGACGAUGUGAGGACUCUAGGUCAGUGUCUCUAGCGUUGUCCUGUCAUGAAAAGCAAACUAUCACGAAAUGUUUUUAUGGAUUUUAUCUUCAUUGAUGAAGAUAAAAUUAUAGUUAUGUAAACAUUCUUAACCUUUAAAAAGAUGCUAACAAGAACAUUGAAUGAUAAUUAAU